Corythoichthys intestinalis (scribbled pipefish) is the source of this 2848-nucleotide long non-coding RNA. RefSeq lists it as uncharacterized. The transcript has 3 exons. Lineage: Eukaryota; Metazoa; Chordata; Actinopteri; Syngnathiformes; Syngnathidae. The record is from RefSeq and is a predicted model, not a curated record.
GGAUACGCCGCAGAUAAACGUGCGCUCCCGGGGCCGACAGUGGCGGCGGAGGGGACAACCGCGACAGGCCGUGCCUUCAUGGAGUCGCCGGAUGACCGAUGACACCCCACCGGCUUGGGAGGAAAACGACCCCCGCGACUAACACGUCACGCCGACAAACACGGAGGCCCUUCCAGCUGAUCCCAGUCCAGCGAGGUGUUCUCGCUCACCUGCUCCUGACCCGUUUCAGAGUGUCGAGAUUAAAGCGCUUCCUCAAAUCUCCUCCGAGGAACUGCUCCAGUGUGUUGGCAUGUCCUUCCUGGCUUCCCAGAUGCUUGUCAGCAGAUUGGCAUUCAUCCAACUGGAGGGCAAACAACAACAACGAUAACGAUUAUUGAAAAUUCCUUUUCUGGUUUCGGUGUUUAUUAAUACAGUGAGCAUAUUUUCACCCACGGGAACACACUGGUACCUUCUAGUGAAGCGGAACUCCUACGCAUUUUGGAAGAGAAACAAUUUGGGCUUCAGAUCUUCUCUGGUGUUAUACGAGCUAAAAGGUCACAAAAUGUGAUCACACACAUGCCCCAUAGUAUAGCAUAGCAUACAAUAUUGUAACAAAAGUUAACAUACCCUUUCCUUUUGAGAAAGUGCCUAUGCAGACAGAUCGCACCGAUGCAUACAACUGCACAAAAGCACAUUAGUUACAAUGUGUUAGGUUUUUAUCGAGUUACCAUAAGGGUCUCAGUAAAUGAGGAGCUUACCAAGGCAUACGACCACCGCGCCGAUUAUAACAGGGAAAUGAUCUAAAAGACACACGCAGAACAUGAAAAGAAUGUGUAAUACAAACAUUCAACGUGUUGGAAUUGUUAACUCACCAACAUCCUUGUUGGAAUCUUUGGCUUUGUCAUGUAUUUCUGCAACAAUCAAAGGUCAGUUUAUAAAGACCUUUUUAAAAUAUACGACGAGAUCAGGACAAGACCACUAGAAUAUUGAAGCACUUUAAAUCGUGUGAUAUCAUAUUAAGAUUAUUUUGGCAUCUCUUAUAAGUGUGUGUGACUGUACACAGCAUGGGUGUGUGUGUGUGUGUAUAGUAUACAUAAAUGUAUGGAUACUAAGGCUAGGUUCAUACCAGAGGUUUUAAUACACAAAUUCGAUUUAUCGUGUUUUUACAACUCGAGUCAGGCAUUAACUUGACGGUCUGAGCGGGACAGGUUGCAUAAAAGUGGACAAUUUCAAAUCCGAUCUAGGUCACUUUCGUAUGUGGUUAAAAUCCGAUCUGGGCUACAUUUUUCCAGAAUGUGGCUGCGGUCUGAACUGUCAACUCCCCCAAAUCAGAAUCAUGCAACAAUUACGUCAGCAAAAGAGCGAGAGAGACAGGGCGCUUUGUUAGUGAUAGAGCUGUGCAUCAACGUUAGCGCCUAGCUCGAACGCGGCUUUUAGGGAAGAGGUGAGCUUGACCACAUUCAUUAAAAAAAUUAAAUGGGGGUAAGCCUGAGAAUGCUCGGUUUUCUUUCUGUGCUCCAAUUGAGCAAUAUUUUAAGAUUGCGUACACGACCGAGAGUCGGGGCAAACUUCGUAUAUGUAUGAGUCAUGCACGCACAGUGCGUGCAUGCUAUCAAUCCAUAUAAACUUUGAAUAUAAGACUAAACGGGGAUUACCGUAUUGGUCCGGAUAUAAGACGGUGUUUUUUGCUUUGAAGUAAGACUGAAAAAGUGGAUGUCGUCUUAUAUUCGGGGUCUAGACAUUAUUCUCAUUCACGAUGCUAGAUGGCGCCAGAUAUCAUUGAAGCGAUUCUGUCAUGACAGAUCUCAGCUACUCUCAAGUUUAACCCCUGAGAGUCGAAGGACGCGCCGGCGCGUCCUCAGCGCACGUCGUCUUUGAAGCGCCCUCACGUUUUAAUUACGUCACCCACAUGCCGUUGGUUGGUCUCGUUUUAAAGUGCGGAAGUUGCGGUUUACUCUCGUUAUUAUUUGAAGUCAAUCGACCUACGAAAAAGUGAGAUUGUUAUUUAAGUUUUACAGUUUUAUUGUCCUCUCAAAAAAACAUUAAAACGCUGCAUGGAUCAUUUGUUUAUGUCUAUAUUUCCAUCAUUUCUUGUCCUUUUUCAAAACGGAAGCUCCAUGAAAAAAACACAAAUCAAACGAACCCUUUCGAAGUCACAGUGGAAGCACAAAAUGCGUUUUUUUUAUAUAUAAAUAUAACUACCAUGCGAGGUUCUACCGAACGAGAGGGAGGAGUGUUCUGAAGCAGCGAGGUGGCGAGCGACGGCCGUUUGGAUCGAGCAGCGACUUUGUGUGACUUUGAGAAUGAACGGAAAACUAAAUUUAGCGCAAGCAAUUGUGCUUUUUGAUCAACUUGAGGAAGAGGAUGGUCCAAAUUCGAUAUCAUCGUCUUCUUCGGAAGAGUCCUCGAGUGAAGAUAGUGACGGUUUUGCACACGUGGGUGACGCCAUCGACGAGCAGAGGUAAGCCAACUCACUUUUUUUUUUUUAUGCUGAAAAAGUUUCUUUUGAAAGUUUCUUUUGAUAUUGCAAGACAAAGUUAAUUUUGAUGCAAUAUAAGUGUGUGUUUGUGUAUAUAAUAAAAUGUGCAUAUCAGAUCAAAGUCGCACGUGCACUGUGGGUAUCCCAGGCAGGAAUUUAUAAUUUGUGGUGUUCUUUCUGUAUGAAGAUUAGGGAUGUAGCACAUAUUCAGCUAUGGUAUUCUUUCUAUUGUCAUACAUAUAGAUUUCCAUUAUUAUUUAUUGCUGUAUAUAUUUUUAUUUUAUACUUUAUUAUUUUCAUAAAUACUGACUUUUUUUCAUGUACAUUUAUAGUGACAAUGAAAGUAAAGUGAAAUGAAAAUGGAAGGGUGGAAAGAGGACCGACACCCCA